UCUCGUAGGUGACCUGCGGAGGGAUCAUUACAGAGACUCUGCCCUUUGGGUAGACCUCCCACCCUGUGUCGUUAUACCUUUGUUGCUUUGGCGGGCCGCGGGGCCCCGGCCCUGCCCCUGGCUCCGGCUAGGGCGCGCCCGCCAGAGGACCUCAAAACCUGAAUGUUAGUGUCGUCUGAGUACUAUAUAAUAGUUAAAACUUUCAACAACGGAUCUCUUGGUUCUGGCAUCGAUGAAGAACGCAGCGAAAUGCGAUAAGUAAUGUGAAUUGCAGAAUUCAGUGAAUCAUCGAAUCUUUGAACGCACAUUGCGCCCCUUGGUAUUCCGGGGGGCAUGCCUGUUCGAGCGUCAUUACAACCCUCAAGCUCUGCUUGGUCUUGGGCGUCACCGGUCCGCCGGUGUGCCCUAAAAUCAGUGGCGGCGCCAUCUGGCUCUAAGCGUAGUACAUACUCUCGCUACAGACGUCCGGUGGAUGCUGGCCAGCAACCCCCAAUUUAUCAAGGUUGACCUCGGAUCAGGUAGGGAUACCCGCUGAACUUAAGCAUAUCAUA
This 551-nucleotide ribosomal RNA is filed under the name Pezicula melanigena. RNAcentral's name for it is "eukaryotic LSU rRNA". The stretch from base 198 to 351 matches the Rfam family "5.8S ribosomal RNA". Lineage: Eukaryota; Fungi; Ascomycota; Leotiomycetes; Helotiales; Dermateaceae. The record is from RNAcentral.